UCAGAACUAAGGGCAAGCACUCAAGGGAGCACAUACUCAAGGGAAUAAGGAGUGCUUAGGGAGUGCCCCCCGGGUGCCAGGCAUGGGCUACGCUGAGAGAUCUAUGUGCACUACGACUUGGGGUCUCCCUAAACUGAUCGCAGUAAUCCCCUGGAGCACUUAGUAAAGAUAAAGGGAGCCCCAAGAGUCAGGGUGCACUUUUAGUGCUCUUUGAAAUGUUAACCACAUCAAAAGUAUAAAUGAUAGAAACUUACAAAAACCAUCCGUUGAUAAGUGUAAUUAUUUAAAUUCCUCUUGUACUUAUUUGGUUUCGUGAAUUUUUAAUAAGACAUUUUAAAUUUAAUUUUGUCGUUUCAGUCAACAUUUGCUAUCUUCCAAAAAACACAAAAUGAAAAUUUCAUUAUUUGAAAUUCAAAACAACCCAAAUGUCCAUCAGUGGGUGACUGGAUAAACAGAUUGUAGCGUAUCUGUACAUCGGAAUGCUACUUGACAAUUAACUGUUGAAACAGGCAAUGAGGAUGGCCCUCAAAAUAAUGAUGCUGACUUAGAGAAGCCAGACAAAAGAUAGUGUAUACUGUUUGAUUCCAUUUCUGUCCCAUUAAAAAAAAUUUUUUUAACGUUUAUUUAUUUUUGAGACAGAGAGAGAGCAUGAACAGGGGAGGGUCAGAGAGAGGGAGACACAGAAUCUGAAACAGGCUCCAGGCUCUGAGCUGUCAGCACAGAGCCCGACGUGGGACUCGAACUCACGGACCGCGAGAUCAUGACCUGAGCCGAAGUCGGCCGCUUAACCGACUGAGCCACCCAGGCGCCCCAUUUCUGUCCCAUUUUAGAAAAUGCAAACUAGUGAUUGCAGAGAAGUGGUGCAGAAUGUGGCUCAGGGGUUGUCUAGGAGGAGAGGAGAGACGGAGAAAUUACAAAGGGGCACAAGGGAACUUGUGGGCGUGCUAAAUACAUUCAGUGUCUUGAUUGUAGGGAUGGUUGUGUAGUAUGUCAAAGCUUACCGAAAUGCACACUUCAAAUAUUUGCAGCUGUUGUGUAUCAAUCAUACCUUACUACAGUUGUAACAAUGGGGGCAGCUGGCUGGUUCAGUCACCAGAGCAUGUGACUCUUGAUCUCCGGGUUGUAAGUUCGAACUCCACGUUGGGUGUAGAGAUUACUUAAGAAAAUAUUUUAAAAAAGGAAAAUACGGUUGUGACGAUGGACACAAACAUAAUAAACCUUUGAAAUAUGAACAUUAUUAUUCAAAAUCCGUGAGACUAACUACACAUAAAAGAAAAUUAAGCUGCAAUGUUCUUUGUAAAGUUGUAGCAUUUAUGGUUCUGGAAUAGAAGUGUAUGUAACAGACUAUACUUCCGCUAAACCUUAAAAGGGCACUAAGACUUUUGGAACAUCAAGGUCCGCCAGCUCUAUAGACUCACUUGGUGAGUCUUAAUAAGUGAGAUGGAAAACAGCACCAUUUAUUUCAUUGUCUUUUUUUUUUUUCUUUCUCUCUCUUCUGUCUUUCCAGAAACCCACAAGCGUGGCGCUGCUGUCGGCUUUCUCUCCAAUUGAGGGGUCUGAGGCUCAGAGGGGCUGGGUGCAUUGUCGUUAAAAGCAGUGCUGGGAUCCCGGUCCCGGGAAGUCUGACGUCAAAGCCUGCGCUUGGGGUAACUCAGGCAGGGUGGGGGGACUUGUAUUUCCAAACUCCACCAAGCCCUGUGCCCCGUUAGCUGCUGACCACAAGGCUGGCCAAAUCCCAGGCUGGUGCCUCCCCCACUCACAUCAAAGGGCCCCAGACUUCAAAGGCAAGUUGAGGGGAGAUGCACAUACCUGGCUUUCCCAGGAGAGCCCAGGAGAGCUAAUAUGAUUAACCAGAGACCCAAUGGGGCAGGAAGAGUCUUCACGGAGCAGAUAAUUCAAUGGAAGGAACUCGAAAACAUUCUCACCCACCACCCACCCUCAGCAUCUUUCAUUCUGUGGCUACUAACACUCUAGACACCUGGGAAUUAGGGGUGAGGUGGGGGCUGUACCAAAUGUGUGUCCAUUCCAUAGACGGAAAAACAUGCUGGAAACCAAUUGUUUACCAAUUUUGUGCCAGGCAUAGUGCUGAGUGUUUUGGACACAUGCCUCACAUUAUAGUCUGUAAGUGUAAUUAUUCCCAUUUUACUGAUGGAAAAACUGAGGCUUGGAUGGCUUAAACACUUGCCCAAGUUCAAGUCGGUACUAAGCAGCUGAGCUGGUAUUGGGGUCCAGGUCCAUUUUGACGCUAGCGCUCAUUCUCUAUCCUAUCAUUUGGAAGAGGACAAAGAGCUAAUGGGGUCUUAGCUUCCCUCCGGUGUCUUUCCUUCCGGUCUUUCCUUCACUCCGGUGCGAGGGCGACAGACACAGGAGGUGGCACUGUGCCUGACUGCUCACUCACCACAUUCGCAUCUUUGGGGGACAGGGACUGGGUAAUCGUCCCCACGAUUUGAGAUGUUAUAAAUCUAUAAGACCCCUCACAUCCCCACCCCAUCCCUUGGCUCCCCUUGUCCGUCCUCCCUGUGGACUGCACCCUCAGAACCAUGUUCUUUCCCUACUGGGAAGAUUUAAGAUCCCAGGACCCUGUUUCUGCCUGUACCUGCCUCAGGUGCUGAGCUGCCCUAGCAGGGCUGAAGGGACUGGUAACAGAGACCUACAGGGCCCUGCCCUGGGCGGCAUCCCUCCAAGAAACUCACGACCCUCAGGGGGCCUGCACAGGGAGAAGGUUUUGGUUUAAAUUAGUACCAAUUACACUUGUGGUAGUUUGCGGGGAGGUGAAGGGAGUUGGGACACCUAAGAUCUCUCAGCUCAACCCAGACCAACAUGGGACCUUGGCCAGGGCACAUGGCCUCAUGGAGCCUGUUUCUGCAUUUGGCCUGGUUCCAGGGCCCUUACAUCAUGCCCCCUGUUACGCACCUCCUCUUAGGCUACGAGCUGCCAGGGGACCGAAGUCUCCUUUGACCCUGCACCCAGUGCCCUGUGUACAACGGGUGCUAUAAAUGAGGCCACAAAGGGCACUUUUCUUGUCAGAGAGCUUGCUUUCCCCAUGAAGGUUGGUUGGUUGUUGUCAUAGGGAGGUGGCCCAGGCAAAGGAAAGGAGCCCCCGCUUUGGAGGAGUCAAACCUGUGCCCAUUAGCCUGAGUGCCUGCCUCUGGUUCGCUUCUGUGUUUGUGGAGAGGGUCUUAAAGGGAUGUGAGGGGGCGGUCGGCCUCGCACGUCUGGCACUGUGCGGGUACAGCUGACACGCCCAGACGUCACGGCGAAGGCCAGGGAGUGAGGGAGCGCGGGCGCCCUGCGGGACCCGCUCCCGGGGCGGGGGAGGGGGGGAGCAUGCCAAGGACCACCCCAGUGACUCUGCCAGCAGGCCCAGCUGCUGCAGUGUGCCAGGGGACAGGAGGCCAGAGGCAGCGUGCUUCCUACCCCAGAAGCUGCUGCCACCCCUGGGCUCAGGGAGAGCAGGGGCCCUCCCCACUGCCCUCCAGCCACAGGGGAACCCAGGCGACAAUAGCAGGUGCCGCACCGUGCCCCAGAGCACCGGAGGCUGACCCAGCGACAACGCGGGGUUGUCUCCGCUGGUGCUCACAGCUCUACAGGAUGGGCCCUGAGAGGUCAGGCCCCUUGCUUGAGGUUAUGGAGUUACCCUGAGGCCAGUGAAGUGUCUCAAGCGUGGAUUUCCCUGUCUUUGUCCCAGGAGGAGCCCCUGCCCGGGAGCAUGGCAGAGUCUGGCGUCAGGAGAGCCACCUCGGAUGAGAGUCAUCACCACCUGAGCCUCAGUGCUUCGGGAGGUGGGAGUGGCACCUACCCUUCAGGAUCACAGUGGAAGCACCGCUCUGCUGAUCGCAGGCUUAUAUGCCGGUUAUGAAGUUCCUAGUCUAUGCCAUGCCUCGGGCUGGGACGCAGAGAUGAACAGAGCUCACGCCCCUGCCCUCGGGGAGGUCCCUGCCCAGGGGUGGAGGGGGCAGGCAGGCCGUGGCCAGUGGGUCAGGCCACGGGUGCCAGCCUUGAGGUGUGCCGCUCGGAGCUCCCUUCCAGAGAACUCGCUGCAGGACGCAGUAAGCUGACUGCCCCUGGCCGCCACACCUUCAGGAUCCACAGCCACGUUCACACGGAGGCCACCGUCUCCCUGGGCCGCUCCCGGCCGGUGGCUGAGCCCAGCUGAGGCACCAGCGUGGGCCACGUUUGCCAGAUGCAGGACCGCUUUCCUGGGCAGUCUUUGCUCUGGCCGUCCCUCGGCCUGGCCGUGAUGCGCAGUGCGCGACGUGCUCGGGGCCUGUGCUGGGUCUUGGGCUCUUCCUCCCCGCCCUCCUUCCUGCGCCUCCUUUCAUAGAUGGCAGGCCUGCCCUGCGCUCUGAACACGCUCCCUCUUACUCCUGCCCCAGUCUUUCCCACGCCUUCCCCCCCAGGUGAGCUCUUGCAUGGCUGACCUGGCCUUGCUGUCUGCUUUCCAGUGGGUCGUUUCUGACGCACAGUAUAAAAUGGCACAUUCUCUUCUGGUAGCAGGCCACGGGGGACAUCAGAUGUCUCACUCGGUUGCUGGGUCGCGGGGGCCGCCAAGUAUUGUGGUGGGGAAAGGCGAGCUUUGAAGCCAGGCUGCCCGGUGAGAAGCCCACUCCGCCCCUUUCCCAGCAGUGUGCCCUGGCCAGCGUAGUUCACCUCCCCGAGCCUCAGUUUCCUCAUCUGCUAAAGGAGGCUACUCCUGCCUCCUGGGACGGAGGCAAGCUUGCAGUGAGUUAAUAUACGUGCUGCCGAGGCGAAGCGAGUUAAUGCACACGAACAGUGGCACAGGGUGAACGGUUAGUGUCUAUCCUUCCCGGUGGGAGGGAAGACUGUGCGGAGGAGGGGGCAAGAUGCCGUCUCUGAAUCUGCUGCCUCUAGUUCCAGAAAGCACCGUGGAUUUGGGGGGCCGUAUGUGCUCCUCUGAGCCUCGGCCGGCACACUCGUAAGGGGAGUUGCCAUCACCUGCUGCCCUGUCAGCUGCAGGUGGGAAUGUUGCAUCCGUGCUAAUGGGUGGGGGAAGGCCAAAAUCUUCGUGCAAGGGCAGGCGACUAAGAGUUGGAAGGGACUAUUGGAGCUGGAAGAGUGCCUCGGAGUUUAUUGGCCCAGUGGUUCCCAAACACCAGACUCAACUGCGGCCUCAAAACCAGCCAGGGGGCUUUCCCAGUUGCCAGCCCUGGAAAUCCUGGCUUAGGAGGACUGGAGGGGAGCCUAGGGGUCUGAGGUUGAAUCUUUCUUGCUGGCGAUUCCAACGCGCACACAGGCAGGCUGGGGAACAACUGUCCGGUCCUGGCCCAAGAUUUACCCCUGACUGCCAGGGCAGUGAAUGCCUGUGUCACAUGGCCUGGGCCCCUGGGGGCGGUGGUGGUGAUGGUGGAGGGGUGCCUGUCCGGGCCUUCCAAGCCAGCUGAGCUACAGUGGCCUCCAGUUUCUGUGAAUAUGCACGGUGUGCUUUUAUGCUUCUGAGUUUGUUUUGGAGAGGAACAGCCUCUAAGGAGCUGGCCUGUUUCCCUGUGGCUUUGAGCUGCCCAUGCCCACUGCCGGGUGCCUCCAAGACAGCAAGGAGACAGUGGGGUGGUGUCUGUCCCUUCUGAGAGGCCAAGUUCUAGGCCAUUGUGGACACAGAAGGAGACUGGGACAGGUAGUGAGUUCCUGGUCUCUGGGAGCAGUCAAGCAGAGGCGGGGACCACUGCCUUUGGGGAUUUCAUACAGGGAGUCCUUCUGCAUCCGGCAGGGUGCACUGCUUCACCUCUCAGCCUUUGUUUCUUUAAACCGCAUUUAUUACAUCCAUUGUAUUCUGACGCGGGUAGGGAGGAAACCGUGUGAUAUGGAGGGGUUGCUUUAAGAUACGCCAACAAGAACACCAAAAGAAAAAAAGAGACAACAGUAGAGGAAGCAAAAUCUUGAUGGUUGUCUAUCUGAAUGAUGGGUACAUAAAAUCGAGUAUACUAGUCUCCAUCUUUGUUCGUAUAGAAAAUGUUCAAAAUAAAAAUUAAAAAUGACUUAACUAUUAGACUAUGUCAUAGACGGGGCGCCUAGGUGGCUCAGUCUGUGAAGCGUGUGACUUCAUUCAGCUCAGGUCACGAUCUCAUGGUUUGUGGGUUCGGACGCCACGUCAGGCUCUGCUCUGACAGCUCGGAGCCUGGAGCCUGCUUCAGAUUCUGUGUCUCCCUGUCUCUCUGACCUCCCCGGCUCACACAGUCUCUCUCUCAAAAAUAAAUAAACAUUUAAAAAAAAAAAAAAAGAACACGUCAUAGGUGCAUGGGCUGAAAACGUCGGCUGUACCAAAGGCUAAUGAGUGGAAGGUGAGUGGGCUUCCCAUUUUGAGGCCCCAAUUCCCCUGCGAGGGCUAAGCUCUCUCCCUGGAAUCUACCAUAGCCUGUCAGAGACGGAGCAUGUGUAUACAAAUCUAUGAGGUCAUUUAAAAAAUUAUUUUAAAAUAGAUAGCACACACACACACACAUUCAUACCCUUUUUUGCAGCUCCUAAGUGCUAGAAUAUUAGACAUUCUGUCCUACAGUUUCUUCUCCUGGCUCCCUCCCUCUUGCCUCCUCUCCUUCCUCCUUAACUCAGCCGCAGAGUUGAGUAAAUAAUUUUCCUGAACCCUCAGCACCUGAUCAUGAUCGACGUAGGCAAAGCUUUUCUCGUGUGGUUCCCUUUGUUUUAUUUUCCCUUUGUGUCAUCCUUUUCCUCAUAGGCACCCGUGGUAGAGUGUUGGAUAGAUGUUUUCGUGUGAUGUACAUAUCCUCGCUUAGAGAGGCUACGGUAUUUUUCUGUGUAUAAGCCUUGUUACUUUCCAUCGAGGGUAUUUUGCGGCCCGUUGAGCUCUGCUGAUGAGUUUGCCCCGGAACGCUGCAUUUUCCACGCUCGCUCCGCAUUUCUGCGUGUCCCCCUGGAUUGUUGGGUGCAACUGUUGUGCAGGAUUCCGUGGUUGAAAUCCCCGUGGCUUAUCCAUUCCUCUCGAGACAGGCCCUGCACCGUCACAGACAACACUGCCCUGACCGUCCGU
Molecule: long non-coding RNA, 7000 nt
Organism: Acinonyx jubatus (cheetah)
Lineage: Eukaryota; Metazoa; Chordata; Mammalia; Carnivora; Felidae
Exons: 4
Source: RefSeq, a predicted model, not a curated record